CGCGUAGGCGGUCUGGUCAGUCGGAUGUGAAAGCCCCGGGCUCAACCUGGGAAUUGCAUUCGAUACUGCCCGACUAGAAUAUGGAAGAGGGAAGUGGAAUUUCCGGUGUAGCGGUGAAAUGCGUAGAGAUCGGAAGGAACACCAGUGGCGAAGGCGGCUUCCUGGUCCAAUAUUGACGCUGAGGUGCGAAAGCGUGGGGAGCGAACAGGAUUAGAUACCCUGGUAGUCC
This 229-nucleotide ribosomal RNA is filed under the name uncultured bacterium. Its description in RNAcentral is "partial 16S ribosomal RNA". It matches the Rfam family "Bacterial small subunit ribosomal RNA", at positions 568 to 796 of the family's 1533-position model. The record is from RNAcentral.